GGACAACUAUCCAGAAUCAGCUGCAGUUGUUCUAGGUUCACAAGGUGUUGAUCAUGUACCUGGUACCAUGAUGGAAGCAUUUGAUUCUCCUCAUGCCAUGACUGAACCACAUAACCCGAGUAAUAGUUCUUCUGAUGUGACUGAAAGAGAUCAACUGCAUACAGCCACAAAUGGCAACAGUGACAUUAUGAUUGAAACCGGC
RNAcentral lists this unclassified non-coding RNA (202 nucleotides) under Hevea brasiliensis (rubber tree). Lineage: Eukaryota; Viridiplantae; Streptophyta; Magnoliopsida; Malpighiales; Euphorbiaceae. The record is from RNAcentral.